RNAcentral lists this ribosomal RNA (253 nucleotides) under uncultured bacterium. RNAcentral describes it as "partial 16S ribosomal RNA". It matches the Rfam family "Bacterial small subunit ribosomal RNA", at positions 524 to 776 of the family's 1533-position model. The record is from RNAcentral.
UACAGAGGUCCCAAGCGUUGUUCGGAUUCACUGGGCGUAAAGGGUGCGUAGGCGGUCGGGUAAGUCUGAUGUGAAAUCUCACAGCUUAACUGUGAAACUGCAUUGGAUACUAUCCGGCUCGAGGAAUGGAGGGGAGACUGGAAUACUUGGUGUAGCAGUGAAAUGCGUUGAUAUCAGAAGGAACGCCGGUGGCGAAAGCGCUCGACUGGAUCUCUGCUGACGCUGAGGCGCGAAAGCCAGGGGAGCAAACGGG